This 420-nucleotide ribosomal RNA is filed under the name bacterium. Its description in RNAcentral is "partial 16S ribosomal RNA". It matches the Rfam family "Bacterial small subunit ribosomal RNA", at positions 355 to 776 of the family's 1533-position model. The record is from RNAcentral.
UGGGGGAUAUUGCACAAUGGGCGAAAGCCUGAUGCAGCGACGCCGCGUGGGGGAUGAAGGCUUUCGGGUUGUAAACCUCUUUCGCUAUCGAACAAGGCCCGCUUAGGGUGGGUUGAGGGUAGGUGGAGAAGAAGCGCCGGCUAACUACGUGCCAGCAGCCGCGGUAAUACGUAGGGCGCGAGCGUUGUCCGGAAUUAUUGGGCGUAAAGGGCUUGUAGGCGGCUGGGUGCGCUUGCUGUGAAAACGCGGGGCUUAACUUCGCGCGUGCAGUGGGUACAGGCAGGCUUGAGUGUGGUAGGGGUGACUAGAAUUCAAGGUGUAGCGGUGGAAUGCGCAGAGAAGUGGAGGAGCACCGAUGGCGAAGGCAGGUCACUGGGCCAUUACUGACGCUGAGGAGCGAAAGCAUGGGUAGCGAAGAGG